CCAAGGUGCGGGCGCCCAGCCCGCACCGAGGUGCAACCCGAGCGAGGGUCAAAAGCCCGAGCUUUACCUAUGAAGAUAUGAGACCAGCAGGGGCAUCCGGGCUGGUACCCGGUAAAUCUGCGGGAUCUUGCAGGCCUGGUUUUGGUGAGAUGACUCCAGGCUUACGUGGUUCUGCCGAUCGAGGCCCCUAACCGAGGGUGACCA
Non-coding RNA from Pseudomonas putida, 204 nucleotides. NCBI's taxonomy places the organism in Bacteria, Pseudomonadati, Pseudomonadota, Gammaproteobacteria, Pseudomonadales, Pseudomonadaceae. The record is from Rfam.